CGUUUGAUUUCCAGCUUGGUCCCUGCGCCGAAAGUGUAUCGUGCACUAUAACUCUGCAGACAGUAAUAAUCAGCCACAUCAUCAGCCUGCAGGCUGCUGAUGGUGAGAGUGAAAU
This is a long non-coding RNA of Octodon degus (degu), 115 nucleotides long. RefSeq lists it as uncharacterized. Lineage: Eukaryota; Metazoa; Chordata; Mammalia; Rodentia; Octodontidae. The transcript is spliced from 3 exons. The record is from RefSeq and is a predicted model, not a curated record.